GGGGACCGAAAUGAUGCAGGGCAGUGGGCGCUAGAGUGAAGCGGUGACUGUGAGUGUUGACUGAGUCUCUGCUCUAGUGGGGCUGAUGUGGGAGGCAGGGAUGAGGGCAAGAUUUCACGCACCAAUUGAAUUUUUUGUAGUGAGGGCUCUUGGUUGGCGUAUUUGCUGCAUUUGUAGAGGAAUUGUCCUGGAGCAGCAGCCGGAGGAGAAAUUGGCAGACGUGGGCCUGUGAGGAGCCUGGACAUUCUUCUAAGGAGACAUGAACAGUCCUCAGCUUUCUGCCUCGUGCAUAACUGGCUGUGGGUUUGGUGUGUCUGACCAGAGUCAUCUGUGCAGAGUGACUAUUUCAGUACCAAGGGAAAAGAAGUGACAAGUCAGAGUCUACUGCCCUCAUGUGAUGGAAAGCGAGCGAGAGUGAUGGGACUGCGAGAAUUAUUGAUGCCUUGAAAAAGCCGUCCAACGGGGAAUGGAACAGUCAUCACUGUCAAUGAGAUAAGUGUCUGUUUUGGUGAUUGCUCUGCUCACGGCCCACCUUGCUCCUGAAAGGGAUGCCCCAUUUGCUGAGGCUGUGUUUGUAAGAAAAGGUUCCUGACUAGCUGUGGUUUUGAGAGAGAGAAGAUCCCCAUUUUUAGGGGCUGCUCAGUUUUCUGGCCAGGAGCAGUGUGUCCUACGCAGCAGAAGGUUGCAUCGAGGAGAAUGAGUCCAGGUGGUGAAUUGCCUUUCUCUCGUGUUUCUCUCUUCUCUAGUGUGUUGGCCAACACGCUUUCUCAAUCUGUCCUUGCCUUUCCUUGUGCUGUCUCCCUUCUUAGGAUAUUGGCAGGCGAGCUAGGUGUGCACCCCCACAGGUUGUGUCUUGGGAGCCAUAAAGAAGUAGGAGGGGACAAAAAUCAUGCAGGGCAGUCGGUGCGAGACUGGAGCGGUGACUGUUGGUGUUGUGGGGCUAAGACAGAUCGAAAGCGAUGCAGGGAAGAGGGCCUUAAUUGGGCUCUAUGUAGUACAGGAGUUCUCAAACUGGGGUUUAGGUCCCGUCAGGGGGCUGCAAGGUUGUUAUUUGGGGGGUUGUGAAAUGUUAUCCUCCAUCCUAAACAUCACUUUACUUCCAGCAUUUAUAAUGGUGUUGAAUAUACAAAAAGUGUUUUUAAUUUAUAAGGGGAGGGUCACACUCAGAAGCUUGCUAUGUAAAAGGGAUCAUCAGUACAAAAGGUUGAGAACCACUGG
Molecule: long non-coding RNA, 1218 nt
Organism: Mauremys mutica (yellowpond turtle)
Lineage: Eukaryota; Metazoa; Chordata; Testudines; Geoemydidae
Exons: 3
Source: RefSeq, a predicted model, not a curated record